RNAcentral lists this ribosomal RNA (346 nucleotides) under uncultured Ascomycota. RNAcentral's name for it is "SSU rRNA". It matches the Rfam family "Eukaryotic small subunit ribosomal RNA", at positions 20 to 370 of the family's 1831-position model. Lineage: Eukaryota; Fungi; Ascomycota. The record is from RNAcentral.
GUAGUCAUAUGCUUGUCUCGAAGAUUAAGCCAUGCAUGUCUAAGUAUAAGCAAUUAUACCGUGAAACUGCGAAUGGCUCAUUAAAUCAGUUAUCGUUUAUUUGAUAAUACCUAACUACUUGGAUAACCGUGGUAAUUCUAGAGCUAAUACAUGCUGAAAAUCCCGACUUCGGAAGGGAUGUGUUUAUUAGAUAAAAAACCAAUGCCCUUCGGGGCUCCUUGGUGAAUCAUAAUAACUUAACGAAUCGCAUGGCCUUGCGCCGGCGAUGGUUCAUUCAAAUUUCUGCCCUAUCAACUUUCGAUGGUAGGAUAGUGGCCUACCAUGGUAUCAACGGGUAACGGGGAAU